CACAGAGACAUGAAGGUAAAAAGUGUUGACCCAUUUGAGGGGCCUGAUCUGAGAUGAGUUGGGUCUGACUUUACAGUUCCCAAUGGCUUCAGUUGCAGCUGUGAGUGCUCAGCUCUUCUUCAAAUUGGAGCCCAGGAUCUCAGGUAGGGUACCCAGAAAAUGAGGAGCACACAGUUAGUGGCCACCUGUGAGAAGUUUGAUUUAGGUGACUUGCCCAGCAUCACACAGUAAUUCUGAACAGAGACAGAAUCCAACUCUCCAGGACAGCAUUCAACUGCCUUACUCAUGAGGACCAUCCUUUCAGUUUUAAGAUUUUUUUUACGUGACCAGAAACUACAGAGGACUUUACCAAUUAAGUCAGCAGAAUCCCCUAUAGAAAGGGCUUCUUCCUGGAUACACUAAAGAACAAAGAGACUCAGAAAUACCUGGGAAGUUAGCAGCAGCGCGAUAAAGAAAACAUGACAGAGUCUCUGUGGGUGAAAACGGGCUGGAAACUCCUUACUGCUUUUCAAGCAUGUUUUCCUACAAAAACAUACAUUGAUGUGUUAUUUAUAAAACUGGCUGAAACAUCUGCACUUACAGCUAGACAGCAGGCAACAGUGGUACUUUCUUCCUGUAGGUUCUCAGCAGCUUCUGAAUAAAUUAUACAAGGCAGCAAAGUAAUAAAACCAAAGAAAUUGAGCUAAAUAUUCAUGUCAUGAAUAUGUGUGCUUACUUGUUUACACCUUGCAAGGUGGAACCAUUAGCCCAACUCCUGCUCAUCAUUCUUAAGUAAAAUUCUGGUGGCUCCAACGUGGAUUACCAGAGUG
Molecule: long non-coding RNA, 809 nt
Organism: Mauremys reevesii (Reeves's turtle)
Lineage: Eukaryota; Metazoa; Chordata; Testudines; Geoemydidae
Exons: 3
Source: RefSeq, a predicted model, not a curated record